GGGUCAGUAGGUUGGUCGUGCCACCGGUACGUACUGGUCUCACUGAUUCCUCCUUCCUGAAGAACCGUAAUGCCAUUAAUUUGGUGUUGCGGGGAAACAGGACUGCUACUUUGAAAAAAUUAGAGUGUUUAAAGCAAGCUAACGCUUGAAUACAUUAGCAUGGAAUAAUGAAAUAGGACGAUCGAUCCUAUUUUGUUGGUUUCUAGGAUUGACAUA
This 216-nucleotide ribosomal RNA is filed under the name Glomeromycotina sp. Its description in RNAcentral is "partial small subunit ribosomal RNA". The stretch from base 40 to 216 matches the Rfam family "Eukaryotic small subunit ribosomal RNA", at positions 686 to 864 of the family's 1831-position model. The record is from RNAcentral. Lineage: Eukaryota; Fungi; Glomeromycota.